This is a long non-coding RNA of Drosophila montana, 502 nucleotides long. RefSeq lists it as uncharacterized. The transcript has 4 exons. The record is from RefSeq and is a predicted model, not a curated record. Lineage: Eukaryota; Metazoa; Arthropoda; Insecta; Diptera; Drosophilidae.
GUCACGCUAGGGAACCGGUGGCUCCGAUAAUUGCGCACCCCUCGAAUCUAUCGAUAGCUUUCCUUCCGCCGGCAAUCCAAAAACAGCAUAUUGUUUUGUGUGGAGUGGAAAUCGGGCUUUAUUGCUGUGGCUGUUGUCGUGUUACAGUGGCGCCAACGUGAGAUUCGGCUGCAUCGCAUUUUUCGAGGUCCUUGGCGUGAAAUAUCACCAACGGCACUCCUUGCAGCGUCUCAAGUUCGUAUAGACUUGAUCCCACCGCCCUAACGACUCUGCACUUGGCGUACUUGUGACAGAACCUGGCGUUGCGGCCUUUUGCUAAGUCACUCAGGAUGAAGUUACGCUUGUAUAUCUCCUGUCCAGGCUGCGUGCAUGGUGUCCUGUAUCCUGGCUCUAUAAAUCUGGUGCUUAUCGACACGGGCCAAGUUCUGCACCUCCGUGUCGCUGACGGCUUUCAACCUGCGUGCUAAUUUGUCGCUAUUCCGGGAAGUUGUUCGUCCCAUCG